UAGGGAAUCUUCGGCAAUGGGGGCAACCCUGACCGAGCAACGCCGCGUGAGUGAAGAAGGUUUUCGGAUCGUAAAGCUCUGUUGUAAGUCAAGAACGGGUGUGAGAGUGGAAAGUUCACACUGUGACGGUAGCUUACCAGAAAGGGACGGCUAACUACGUGCCAGCAGCCGCGGUAAUACGUAGGUCCCGAGCGUUGUCCGGAUUUAUUGGGCGUAAAGCGAGCGCAGGCGGUUUGAUAAGUCUGAAGUUAAAGGCUGUGGCUCAACAAUAGUUCGCUUUGGAAACUGUCAAACUUGAGUGCAGAAGGGGAGAGUGGAAUUCCAUGUGUAGCGGUGAAAUGCGUAGAUAUAUGGAGGAACACCGAUGGCGAAAGCGGCUCUCUGGUCUGUAACUGACGCUGAGGAUCGAAAGCGUGGGGAGCGAACAGG
Molecule: ribosomal RNA, 429 nt
Filed under: bacterium
Lineage: Bacteria
Description: partial 16S ribosomal RNA
Rfam family: Bacterial small subunit ribosomal RNA
Source: RNAcentral